Molecule: small nuclear RNA, 107 nt
Organism: Molossus molossus (Pallas's mastiff bat)
Lineage: Eukaryota; Metazoa; Chordata; Mammalia; Chiroptera; Molossidae
Source: RefSeq, a predicted model, not a curated record
GUGUGUAGUCCUCACACAUGUAGUAAAAAUGAAAUGAUACAGAGAAGAUUAGCACUGCCCCCCUGCACAGAGAUAACAUGUAAAUUCAUGAAAUAGAAAAAGAGAUA